RNAcentral lists this ribosomal RNA (402 nucleotides) under uncultured bacterium. RNAcentral's name for it is "bacterial SSU rRNA". It matches the Rfam family "Bacterial small subunit ribosomal RNA", at positions 355 to 774 of the family's 1533-position model. The record is from RNAcentral.
UGGGGAAUAUUGCACAAUGGGGGAAACCCUGAUGCAGCAACGCCGCGUGAGUGAUGACGGCCUUCGGGUUGUAAAGCUCUGUCUUCAGGGACGAUAAUGACGGUACCUGAGGAGGAAGCCACGGCUAACUACGUGCCAGCAGCCGCGGUAAUACGUAGGUGGCAAGCGUUGUCCGGAUUUACUGGGCGUAAAGGGAGCGUAGGCGGACUUUUAAGUGAGAUGUGAAAUACCCGGGCUCAACCUGGGUGCUGCAUUUCAAACUGGAAGUCUAGAGUGCAGGAGAGGAGAGUGGAAUUCCUAGUGUAGCGGUGAAAUGCGUAGAGAUUAGGAAGAACACCAGUGGCGAAGGCGACUCUCUGGACUGUAACUGACGCUGAGGCUCGAAAGCGUGGGGAGCAAACA